ACGAUUCUGACGUGGCAAAUAGUCAAAUCAAACUUUGCCACGUAUCAAUAAAGAAAAAAACAAGACACGUUGGCACCAUAUCCCCACCUUUGUUAUCUCUGUAUCAAGCUACAAGAAAGAUGACCAUGGCAAAACUUCGAGACCACCGGAAAAGAUAGAGUUGAUCCGGAGUUUAUCGGGAAUUAACAACCAACUAUGAAAAGUAUAGUCCCAUCAGCAGAUGGUUGCUACUUAGACAGCACACCAGGGGGUUGCCCUGAUAAAAUUGCAUGUGGUGAAACUUGUAGACCAUGCUACAGAGGCAUUGGUCAAGUGUACACUUAUUGUGUAGCUCCAACUGUACUUCCUUAUUGGAUUUGCCGCUGUGAAUUUAAGAAUGGAGCACCUUGUCAACCAGUCGGACCACCUGCUUGUCCCAAACCCCCCGCAACAUCUCGUUCUCUCAAUCAAUUUUUAGGCUUCUACGAGGAUACAUCCGCCAUCAUCCCGCCUGACGCUAUUGUUUUCGGAAACAUCACUGAAGUCGAAUCGCCUGCUCUGAUAGCAUGAGAAAUUAGAGUUUUUUUCUUAAUACAGAAUAUGAAUGUUUAACAUAGUAUUGAGCAAAAAUGAGUGUGAGUUUUGCAAAUUUGGAUCUGCCUAGCUAUUCCGUUAGAAAUACAA
Lycium ferocissimum is the source of this 663-nucleotide long non-coding RNA. RefSeq lists it as uncharacterized. The record is from RefSeq and is a predicted model, not a curated record. Lineage: Eukaryota; Viridiplantae; Streptophyta; Magnoliopsida; Solanales; Solanaceae. The transcript is spliced from 2 exons.